Molecule: unclassified non-coding RNA, 1130 nt
Filed under: Hevea brasiliensis (rubber tree)
Lineage: Eukaryota; Viridiplantae; Streptophyta; Magnoliopsida; Malpighiales; Euphorbiaceae
Source: RNAcentral
AACUUCAUCUUCUUGGUGAAGUAAUUUUGCAAUGCAAUGCGAGUGAUAAAAAUGACCACAGGUUGCAUUAGCACAACGAAACACCUCAGCACCAGAAGAUUUAUUUGAGUAGCCCAACUCUCCACAAGCAAAGCACUGAUGCUGAUUAUAUUCACAAUUCUUACACAAAAACCUCUCAAUUGCAUCAACUUCCCUCCGUGUAAAGCCAAGAGUGUCACAAUUAGACUCUUCACCAUCUAGUCUUGUUGGAUGAAAUGACCUCAUGCAACUCCCUUCACAACAUAGAAGGGCACCACCAUUGUCACAAAUUGCACAAACAGAAUCAAACAACUCAUCAACUUCAUCAGACUCAUCUUCUACUGCAUCUUCAAGGAUGUCAUCAUCCACAUUAUCAACUAUAAAUGCAGAAACAGUUGUAGCUUUCACAUCCUCAUCAGAGAGCUUUCUCUUCCUUGGCUUUUCCUCAAGAAAUGCGAGUAGGAACUUGGACUUUGCUAACCAAUCAUCCCUUCUAACAGCUUCAGAUAUUAAAGCCAUGUGGUCCACCAAGUCAUUUAGAGAAGGUCUAACAUCGUAUAAACUGAAAACUUUGCACAAGUGGUCCCACACAGAUUUACCAGAUGCCUCUGGAUUCCUCCUUGCAAAAUGAAGACAGUGCACUGUAAUCAGGACUGUCCUAAUUAUUUCCUCGAAGCUCUUCCUUGGCUUUUCCAGUUUGAUCCAAUUAUUCUCCUUGGUGAGCACUGAUAUAUCUGGAAUUUCAUUCAAAAGAUCAAACUUCCAUGCCGUGACUUCCUUGUGUAUGGUCUGAAGUCCAUUAUCUACACUCCCAUGCAAGAACAUCUGUUGUUUUUUCUUUUCAUUGACACUCUCACUUUUGCUCCAUUGAAGUGGUAACACUGAGAAUGAAGUUGGUGCAUCUUCAUCAUCCACAAAAUAAUAGUUUGAGACAGACUGUGGCCCAACAUCGGCCUCAUCGUCUGAAGAUGCCAUGCCCUCAGCCACAGUGAACAACGCCGCGGACGGAUAGGGUAGGCAGUGAGGGAGAGCGGCAAUGGUGAAGGACAAGUCGGUUGCCGUAAAUUGAAAGGCCUAGAGGGAUUUUAAGAGGAUUUUUUUUUUUUUUUUUU